UCUGUCAGUUGGAAAUUUUAUCAAAAUGUAACUGUGAAAACAGUCACUAGUGUGAAUCAAUGCUCUCUACAAAGAACUUACACCCAGAAAUGGAACUCUUGAAGUCCUUUGGGUCAAUCUCUGGAGUUACAGUGUGACAGAAUGCAUGAGGAUCAGAUGUGGGGAAACAAAGAAGAAUUAUAUACAAUUCCUGAUCUUAAGACAUUUAGUGGCAUUGGAAGACGGACAAUUACAAGUUUAAAUGACUGACGUCGUAAAGUUACAUACACAGUGCACAGGCAAGAUAGCAGAAAAGAUGUCUUAGUUGAGGUUCUACUGAAGCAGACCCUGAGAUUCAAAUGCAAGUAGUGCUUUUGAAUUCUACUACUAAGACCCACAGAAUGAGAUUCAUUUUCUCUGAGAACUGGACAUUUGUCUAAUCAGGAGCCUUAGAAGUCUUACACUGCCAUGUGGAUUUAAGGAUAAAGGAGACCAAUUCAAACACAGAAGAGACCGUAUACCAAUGGAGAAGGAGAAACAAAGGAUGGAGAGAAAGUUUCGGUGACCUUUGUACCCCUGGUUCCAGAUCCUUCUGGUAGCAUUCAUACUCUUAAG
Molecule: long non-coding RNA, 594 nt
Filed under: Homo sapiens (human)
Lineage: Eukaryota; Metazoa; Chordata; Mammalia; Primates; Hominidae
Description: HSALNT0297217
Source: RNAcentral